Long non-coding RNA from Chiroxiphia lanceolata (lance-tailed manakin), 278 nucleotides. RefSeq lists it as uncharacterized. The record is from RefSeq and is a predicted model, not a curated record. The transcript is spliced from 3 exons. NCBI's taxonomy places the organism in Eukaryota, Metazoa, Chordata, Aves, Passeriformes, Pipridae.
GUCAGCCACUGCAAACUCAAACCUUGCUAACAGCUAACGCUGCUACCUCUGUGUAGAAAUGACAUGCUAGAGCACUCUCAUCUUCCUUGGACGGUUAAUUUCUCUGUACUUCAGGUAUCGCUUCUUGCGAACUUGUCCCUUGUUGGUCUACUGAUAUCUCAGGUGCCAGUGUGGUGUUGCGGUGGGUCCUGGAGCACAACUAGCCUGAAGGUGACUCCUAACCCAGCUCACUUACAGACUGCUGUGUAUGUGUGAGGAGUCUCUGGCUUCUGUUUCUC